UCCGGGGAUAGGGUCGCUCCUGAAAAGCGGGAUUCCCUGUCCCGCCUUCCCCGGAUUUUCCAAACAGGG
This 69-nucleotide small RNA is filed under the name delta proteobacterium NaphS2. RNAcentral's name for it is "int-alpA RNA". It matches the Rfam family "int-alpA RNA". From Rfam's summary of the family: Acidobacteria (1 example), Planctomycetes (1 example), Proteobacteria. Environment (Lake Washington) Lineage: Bacteria; Deltaproteobacteria. The record is from Rfam by way of RNAcentral.